Molecule: long non-coding RNA, 1378 nt
Organism: Leguminivora glycinivorella
Lineage: Eukaryota; Metazoa; Arthropoda; Insecta; Lepidoptera; Tortricidae
Exons: 6
Source: RefSeq, a predicted model, not a curated record
UCGUAAUUUACUAUUGAUUACUUUACUAUUGAUUACUAUCUAUUAGUUAAAAUAAAAAUUCCAUCAAAUAUAUUGCUAAAAAACAACAGACUCGUAACCAAAUAACAAAGGUGAAUUUUACUGCACAUUAGGUAUCAUUUGACGGCAUUUCAAUUUUAGAUAGGUACUGAAUUAUUUUUAAUCAUUUAUGAAUUAUUUUUAAUCAUUUAUUUUAAGUACCUUUAUGCCUUUAAUUCGAGGUAGACUCAUUUAAAAAAAAAUGUUAACGUAUUUUAGACAUCUUCUAUACAUUAGCCUAGCGUUUUUCAAAAUCGGAGUUGGCAACACUGACGCCGAAGUGAUUUGUCAACGCGUCUUGUGUUAAUUUUUUUGCGGUUAUCUAUCACAUCACAGAUCUAACAACUUACAAGUUCAAUGGAGUAAGUGAUCGAAUCUUUAAAAACAUGGGAGUUGGAGAACUUAAUACGAAAAUUCACCAGGUUCACGCCGCGUCGCCUAAUCCUCGCGCCGGUCGCCAGCAUUCCCCGCUGUGUUCCGGUAACCUACAGGCGGCAAGCUGACGCUGCCGUCAUCCACACGACACCAUCUCUGAGGCGGCUGACGUGGCAGUCGUGGUGGUCUGAGGCGGCUGACGUAGCACGUUUGAGACCCUGAUGGAUUUUUCUGAGUUUAACAUAAGCACAGACCUAAUAGUUAUAGAAACUUCAGAAAAGGAAAACUUGUCCUCGGAAAAGGAAAAUGUGCCAUCUGCAAUUGCUGAGAAGAAAGCAGAGCCCAGUUAUAAUUCCAGGAUUGUGGAAAAGUCAUUGGACUCUGCAUCACUAUUUUGAAAAUAUUCUGCUCUCAAAAAACCACAAGGAUAUUCUUUGCGGCUUAACGACUUCAAAAGCACAUGAAAUUUACUAGGACAAUUUGUUUAUAAAUUUUCCAUCAAUGAAAAUAAAUCUUCAGGAACAGCUGAAAUACAAAAAGUCGAACUUACUGCACUUACCAAUUCGCCCUAUGAGGAAACAACGAAUAUAGCCGGAUUUCUCACCAUUCUAUUUUUGCUGAACACUGCGGCAGUCCGCCAAAAGAAGAAGCGAGGUUCCGGUGCAAGUCAAAAUUGGAAGCCCAGUAAAAUGGAAGUAAGGGAAGGUUUCAUAAAGCAUAUCCGCUCUAGUGUAGAAAUUAGCCAGACCAUCGAACUUCGCAUAGCCACACUUCAAAAAAUAGGAUUGUCAUGCCAGCCAUACAUAAUUGUUGUGGGUGAGUCUCUUGAAAAAAUCGAAUCAUUUCUAGUUGUUGUCAGCAGAUCGAUAAUCUAUGAAAGACAGUCCAUUAUGAACGCAGUAGAUACGUGCUACAAAAUAUAUAAUACAAUGAAAAUAUAAUACAU